CCCUUAGAUGUUCUGGGCUGCACACGUGCUACACUGGCAGGUUCAGCGAGCUUCAUGCCCUGAUCUGAAAGGAAUGGGAAAUCUUUUCAAAACCUGCCGUGCUUGGGAUAGAUGUUUGCAAUUAUUCAUCUUCAACGAGGAUUGCCUUGUAAGCGCACGUCAUCAGCGUGCAUUGAAUACGACCCUGUAUUCUGUACACACCGCCCGUCGCUCCUACCAAUUGAAGUUUUCGGUGAGUUGACAGGAGGAUUUUUUUGAAACUGGUUCGCCAGUGGAUUUUAGAUCCAAAUGCCAACGAAUCGAUGGCUUUAGAGGAAGGAGAAGUCGUAACA
RNAcentral lists this ribosomal RNA (332 nucleotides) under uncultured eukaryote. RNAcentral describes it as "partial 18S ribosomal RNA". It matches the Rfam family "Eukaryotic small subunit ribosomal RNA", at positions 1470 to 1796 of the family's 1831-position model. The record is from RNAcentral.